UAGCUCACUGGUCGAGUCGGCCUGCGCGGAAGAUGUAACGGGGCUAAACCAUGCACCGAAGCUGCGGCAGCGACGCUUAUGCGUUGUUGGGUAGGGGAGCGUUCUGUAAGCCUGCGAAGGUGUGCUGUGAGGCAUGCUGGAGGUAUCAGAAGUGCGAAUGCUGACAUAAGUAACGAUAAAGCGGGUGAAAAGCCCGCUCGCCGGAAGACCAAGGGUUCCUGUCCAACGUUAAUCGGGGCAGGGUGAGUCGACCCCUAAGGCGAGGCCGAAAGGCGUAGUCGAUGGGAAACAGGUUAAUAUUCCUGUACUUGGUGUUACUGCGAAGGGGGGACGGAGAAGGCUAUGUUGGCCGGGCGACGGUUGUCCCGGUUUAAGCGUGUAGGCUGGUUUUCCAGGCAAAUCCGGAAAA
This 409-nucleotide ribosomal RNA is filed under the name Escherichia coli. Its description in RNAcentral is "partial 23S ribosomal RNA". It matches the Rfam family "Bacterial large subunit ribosomal RNA", at positions 1138 to 1549 of the family's 2925-position model. Lineage: Bacteria; Pseudomonadati; Pseudomonadota; Gammaproteobacteria; Enterobacterales; Enterobacteriaceae. The record is from RNAcentral.